UUUAAUCUCUUGCCAUUCUGAGAUCAACUUCUGCAAAUGCAAGAAUAAAAUAAAUGAAUCGCCUGAAAAUGGAGCCAGCAUGCAAAGGCCUUCUGAAUGUCUUCACCAGGAAAAUGUUGCCUACCUUGGAUGGAACCAUUUGAAGUGCUAAAAGAGGACAAGAAAUUUUUCCAGGUAUAUACAAAUUGGAACACAUGCUGUCUAUAUUAAACUUGUUUUUCUGAAUAAAGACGUACUAUCCACCCAUGAAGUAAUUAACUUUCGAGAUUCCACAUAUGUCCAAAAUUGACGGCAUUCUUGCUGAAUGUGAUGGAAUACUCACUAAAAUGACCCAUUUUGGCAACGCAUGUAUAUAGAAGCAAACCAUUACUACUUGAAACUAUCUAUCAAAACAGAAGCAGAAUUUACAAUUAUUUAUCAACGUAAUAAGACUUGGUUAGUGUUACUGAUAUCCUUCAGAAUAAUUGAGGUUGGAUUAGAUUUUGAUGCAUAGUAACCUUUUGUUCAAUAAAGGGUCCCCAUUUACACUAAAAGUGAGAUUGCUGUCUCCGUUACCACACUUAUUAUGAACCGACAUCUAUUGCGAUGUAUGUUGUGAAAUGCUCACUGCAGAUGACAUUGAAAUGUUGGAAAAUCAAGUAUCCUUUCGUUUCUUAUUUAUAAUAUUGAAAUCACAAAAAUGACAUUCUCUAACCAUUUUAUUUGAUUUUCCAGAAAACAUUGAACUGCAAGGAGGCAAACCAUAAUUACUCGUCAACAUCUAUUAAAACGGAUGCAUAAUUUCUAGCUAUUUCUGAAAAUAGAAAAGCAGAGGAACUGAAGCGCGUGCCAUCCCGAGAUCAUCUUUCGUGAGUAGAGGGACCGAACAAAUCAAUCGCCAGAGCAUGGAAUCAACAUGCGACAGCCUUUUGCAUGUCUCCUCGUCACAAGUAAAAUGUUGCCAGGCCAGAAACCUUUUUAAUGUGCAGAAAUAGAACAAGAAAUAUUUCCAGCGACUACUUCAGUUUCUGACAAAUUCUCUACCAGCAAUCUGGGUGAUCGAGAAAUUUAUUUUCUCGGAAUGGUAUCGUAGAGAUAACGAAAGCAAGUUUUCUGAAGCCAUGCGGAGGCAAACUACAUAUAAUUUAUGUGGAAGCUUCUAUUAAGACAGAAGCGGGCUUUCCAGCUAUUUCUCAACAGAAGAAAGUUACCUGAAUGAUUCUGAAGCGAUAUCGGCAUGUUGCAAGAAUUUCGGUUUAUCACUUAUCACCAGAAGAUACUGCUUUCUUGGCUCCACACAUGCUCUGAUCUGACAUCAACUAAGCUGGAUGCUAUGAAAUACUCACUACUGAUGACAAGGCAAAUUUCCAGUAAGCUGCAAGGAGACAAACCACAAGGAGACAAACCACAAUCAUCUGUAAAUAUCCAGCAAAACAGAAGCAGCAUAUCCAGUUAUUUCUCAAUAUGGGAAUCGUCGAAUUUGAAACGCUUGCCAUUCCGAGAUCAACUUCUGCAACUAUAGUGUCUGUAGAAAUCGGUCUAUUGAGAAUGAAUCUACCAUGUGACAGCCUUCUGCAAGUCCUCCUCACCACUAAAAUGUUGCUCUGCUAUAAGCCGCUUCACGUACAGUGACAGAACGUGAAAUGUUGGGUGUCUGUUAAGAAUACGCCUUCGUCGAUGUGAUCCUGGAAUAAGACAAUACCUGGACCCUUCAUCAAGCGCAUAUUGGAGUGCGGAUGCUGCACAGUUCAAUUACGGACGAAGACUAUAUUUGAAUUUUUAUAUUAUCAAUAUGUUCAGAAGCAAAUUUCAAACGGAACUAAUUGACUCAAUGGAAGAAACGGAUAUUAUAAAAACAGCGGUAUAACAAAUUUGUAACAAAACCUAGAUUUAAUUUUCGCAAAUAAUAAUAUAAAUUGCAUUUGAGAACAUAUUUGUUAUUACUAAAUUUGAUAAGAAUUGUUUGACAUGACAGAUUGCCACUAUACAACUUUAAAAAUCUUGGAUUUUCAUUACUGUAAUCUUUCUAUUAUAUCGGCAGAAUUUCUUUCCAUUUACAAACCAAUUUUAUAAAGAAAACUGAACCACUUCGUUGUAACUGAAGCCAUUUCUUGACCUUGUUUAUUUCUAAAUCUUCAUUUUGUG
Long non-coding RNA from Argiope bruennichi, 2124 nucleotides. RefSeq lists it as uncharacterized. NCBI's taxonomy places the organism in Eukaryota, Metazoa, Arthropoda, Arachnida, Araneae, Araneidae. The transcript is spliced from 9 exons. The record is from RefSeq and is a predicted model, not a curated record.